AAACGUAGGGGGCGAGCGUUAUCCGGAAUUACUGGGCGUAAAGGGCGUCUAGGCGGCCGCACAAGUCUCGCGUGAAAGCUCCCGGCUCAACUGGGAGAGGGCGCGGGAAACUGUGUGGCUCGAGACUCGGAGAGGGGUGUGGAAUUCCCGGUGGAGUGGUGAAAUGCGUAGAUAUCCGGAGGAACAUCAGUGGCGAAGGCGACUUCCUGGACUAACAUUGACGCUGAGGUGCGAAAGCGUGGGGAGCAAACAGGAUUAGAAACCCCAGUAGUCC
Molecule: ribosomal RNA, 274 nt
Filed under: uncultured bacterium
Lineage: Bacteria
Description: partial 16S ribosomal RNA
Rfam family: Bacterial small subunit ribosomal RNA
Source: RNAcentral